Long non-coding RNA from Dermacentor silvarum, 808 nucleotides. RefSeq lists it as uncharacterized. The record is from RefSeq and is a predicted model, not a curated record. The transcript has 3 exons. NCBI's taxonomy places the organism in Eukaryota, Metazoa, Arthropoda, Arachnida, Ixodida, Ixodidae.
GCUAUGUUCGCGAUGCCGACGCUGCUCGCAUAAUCGCCGCUUCUCUCAGCAAAAAUCGGCUACUUUGCGCACCACCCCACUCGCAAUACGGAAACAAUCUCGGCGAUCGCGCGCAGUUGGCGGGGGCUCGAGAGUGCGUCAGAAUCUUAGCUGCCGUGCAAAUGUCUCGUUCGUUUGUUUCCGCGUGGCUUGGGUCUUCAUAUGCGAGCCUAUAAUAUCCGGAAAUUUCACUGCGCUGAAUUUGAUGCCUAACCACGGCAGGCCCUUACAAGGCCUGCCGUGUGUUGGAGGGUCACCAUCAUGGAACUCGGUGCACUGUAUAUACGGGUUCAAUAAUACAGGCUUUGUCAUGUGGGAGUGUCAGCCGUUUCGUCGUGUCGUGGACUCGGAGAAAACAACGACGUUGUGUGGUAGUCGAACUUAUGGAAUGUCAUGGCCGCUCUUCAGGGAUCACUGCUACCGGACAAGCCACGUGGACAACCAUAAACGGCUAACAAGUCCCCCGCUGAAGCUGUCAAAACUCAAUUGACGUCACGGCGCGCGCGGCGUGCCCUGCACCACCGAUACCGACGGCCUUCACCUCCGGUUUGCAACAACAGCAGCAGCAGCAUAGAAAAGUGCGCGCCAGGCACCAAACCCGUCAUCUCUGGGUGAAAAAAACACGGUUUCUUGUAACGACCGGCUUCACCGUUGGAAAGAAGAGCACAACCGCGGACCAACGGGUCAACCGUCGGAUGUACGUACAUCUGGCGCCGGCGACGGCCGCCGCAUAAGCGGCUCCAUGCUGUCACAACUUUACCAUCGCCUA